UACGAGUGGUGCAAGCAUUAUUCGGAAUCAUUGGGCGUAAAGGGUGCGUAGGUGGCAUAUUAAGUCUACUGUUAAAUAUCUCGGCCUAACCGAGAGACUGCGGUGGAGACUGGUAAGCUAGAGGAUGGGAGAGAGAAGUGGAAUUCUCGGAGUAGCGGUAAAAUGCGUAGACCUCGAGAGGAACACCGAUGGCGAAAGCAGCUUCUUGGACCAAUCCUGACACUGAUGCACGAAAGCGUGGGGAGCAAACAGG
This 253-nucleotide ribosomal RNA is filed under the name uncultured bacterium. RNAcentral describes it as "partial 16S ribosomal RNA". It matches the Rfam family "Bacterial small subunit ribosomal RNA", at positions 524 to 776 of the family's 1533-position model. The record is from RNAcentral.